AGGCUACGCUGGCGGCGUGUCUUAGCCAUGCAAGUCGAGCGGACUUAUGGGGUAACUUAUAAGUCAGCGGCGGACGGCGGAGUAACACGUAGCUAACCUACCCUCUGGACGGGGAUAACCUACCGAAAGGUGGGCUAAUACCCGAUGUAGUCAUCCUGUAUAGGGGUGAUGAAAGGUGGGCUUCUGUUUACAAGCUCAUGCUGGAGGAGGGGGCUGCGGCCUAUCAGGUAGUUGGUAGGGUAAUAGCCUACCAAGCCGAUGACGGGUAGCCGGCCUGAGAGGGUGACCGGCCCGAGGGGCACUGAGAUACGGGUCCCACUCCUACGGGAGGCAGCAGGCUAGAAAUUUGGGCAAUGGGGGAAACCCUGACCCAGUGACGCCGCGUGCAGGAAGGAGCCCUUCGGGGUGUAAACUGCUGUCGUGUAGGGAGAAGGGUACUAAGGUGAACAAUCUUAAGUACUUGACGGUACUACAGGAGGAAGCCCAGGCUAACCUCGUG
Molecule: ribosomal RNA, 499 nt
Filed under: uncultured bacterium
Lineage: Bacteria
Description: bacterial SSU rRNA
Rfam family: Bacterial small subunit ribosomal RNA
Source: RNAcentral